Molecule: long non-coding RNA, 1521 nt
Organism: Astatotilapia calliptera (eastern happy)
Lineage: Eukaryota; Metazoa; Chordata; Actinopteri; Cichliformes; Cichlidae
Source: Ensembl
CGACGAAGUCAUUCACCACAUCUUUGACCAGGUGUCCAACUAUCGCAUACGCCACUGCCACUACUACCAGCGCUGCCAUGACCAGAUAGAGCACCGCUUUGGGAAGAGGCAUGGGAUCUCUCUCCGGUGUCCGAUAGUCCGUGUACAGCAGGUCACUCUCCGAGUACGAGUACUGAAAGACGUGCUCCAUGCCCGAGGUAUGGUUGGAGUCGAUAGGGGGAUUACUCGCGCUCAUGGCGCCGUCCGGCUGCAAGGAUGUCACCACAGUGGUCGUCACAGCCUCCGCCUUGUCGAUGUUGACCAUCGACAAAGCGGAGGCUGUAGUUUUAUUCAUCAAAGGCAAUAUCUGAGACAGAAAGUAGCUCCAGUCCUUUAUGGCACUCGUAUUGCAUGAAAACAUCGUUUCCACCGUCAUACCACACCACAAGAGGGUCACCAAGGCGCAAAAAAUCCACUGAACACGGACCGAUCCAGUUUCCCUUUAAAGUAACGUUUGUAUAUAUAUUUUUUUAAUUCCAACAGGUACCCUCAGAUGCCAAAGUCUCACUCCGACAGUAGCUCAUCGGUGCCUUUGAAAACUUGCCCCGCUCUCAAUGAUGAAAGGCAAAACGCGUCACCGUAGCCUUACCGCGCGGCUAUUACGCACGAAAGAAGGAAUUUAGUGCAUCCGAUCUUUGGUUUAUUUGCUAAAGUAAAACAAAAAGAGUGCAGUAGCAGAGCGCACCAGCCUGCAGAGUCAUCGUCAAGUAAAGGAACAGAGAGUGUCCGCAGUCAGCAAUCCACGUCCCUGUGCCUCUCACGUGCGCAGAUGGUGACAGUUACACACUAAAAGCCCGUCCUGCACCUGCGUUAUGUACGGCAAGGACGACUGCACGGUGCCAGCAGGACACUUCUUCACCUCUCUCGGAUCUGAAAUAAACAGUAGCCCUACGGCUGGUGUCAGAGCACUUGUCCGUUCUUCCUCCAGACUCCGGAUGGAGCGAUUCUCUACAGAAGCCACAACUAGAAGUCCUGCACUCUCAAAGACUGAAUGAACCAGCAUUGCAGCCAUGGGUCACUGUGAGCAUUACAGAGAGGUUGAAGCCGCCCACUGCACCUGUAUGGCCGGAGUCGCAGAGACCUGCAGCCAUGUCGCUGCUCUUCUGUAGAAGCAACAGUGCGGAUCCAUGGCACAAGGACUGUUACAGAUGAACCUGCAUACUGGGUUGUGCUGGGUAACGUGACCAAGAUACAGCCAGAGGUUGGCCAUAAGAUGGACUUCUCCUCUUCAGCUGCCCAAAAAAAGGCUCUUGAUCAAAACAUAAACACACCAUCCAUAUUGAAACGUCAAAGGAGCCGUCCUCAAAAAAGAAAAAUCCCACCUUCUACUGUGGAGGAGUUGUCACUGCUAUAAUGCCAUAAUGUUUUAUCUAGGGGUCUAGAUUUAUGCCUGUUGUGCACUGCCAUGUAAAUAAUUUGCAUUUACUGAAUAUGUACUGACUGAGUCCCACUGUUCAAAAGUUGAAUAAAGAAACAAACUAA